Long non-coding RNA from Lineus longissimus, 726 nucleotides. RefSeq lists it as uncharacterized. The transcript has 4 exons. The record is from RefSeq and is a predicted model, not a curated record. NCBI's taxonomy places the organism in Eukaryota, Metazoa, Nemertea, Pilidiophora, Heteronemertea, Lineidae.
AUCUUGAAGAAUAUCGUCAGACCUGGUAAAACCCAACUGUACAUAGGCCUAAAGCAUACUCUAGUCCUAUCAGAAAAGAUUCCAUGCCCUACAAAAUCUGGGAAGACGUUUCAUUCGACAAAGCUGGAAAAAGCUUCUUCUGAAAAAUGACCUAGGCAGAAGACAUGGUCUCUACAGAUGAAGCAGAAUACAAAUGCACAGCUCCACAAAAGCGGGCAAUUCUCCUCGUCAUCGUCGCUCUGGUGCUCUUCCUGCCUGGUGCCGGGCUGCUCACCGGAUACUCAUCCGCGAAUUCAACAAGCGUCUACGUCAUCAUUGGGUCCAUCCUGCUGGCUCUAGCGCUUGCCUGUCUUCUCGCGGGGAUAAUCAUGUGCUGUAUGAUGUAUCAGAAAUGUGACACUGAUAUGUCACGUGCAAAUAUGGUGGAGAUGACCGAGCGAAAUAUGGUGCCAGCUACUUCUGAGCCAAGAUCGAUGAAUUCAGUCCACCAAGAAGGGAGUAGGCCUAAGGGGCACGCAGAGACUUCGUUAACGGGAGUCGUGCCCGGGGAAGUGCUUCCUCUACCGACAUACCCGCCUGCAAGAGACCUUCCACCUCCUUGAUGGGUUCCAAGUGUGCGGAAAAGCACCAUCUCGAUUGAUCAAGUCAGAGUGACUCGAGACUAGUUCUCUACUAAGGAUAUCAAAACAGUAUUACUCCGCAGAGUUUAUCAAUAGUAAUAAUCAA